Molecule: ribosomal RNA, 1532 nt
Filed under: uncultured bacterium
Lineage: Bacteria
Description: bacterial SSU rRNA
Rfam family: Bacterial small subunit ribosomal RNA
Source: RNAcentral
AGAGUUUGAUUCUGGCUCAGGAUGAACGCUAGCUAUAGGCUUAACACAUGCAAGUCGAGGGGAAACGGCAUUAUGUGCUUGCACAUUUUGGACGUCGACCGGCGCACGGGUGAGUAUCGCGUAUCCAACCUUCCCUCCACUCGGGGAUACCCCGUUGAAAGACGGCCUAAUACCCGAUGUUGUCCACAUAUGGCAUCUGACGUGGACCAAAGGUUCAUCGGUGGAGGAUGGGGAUGCGUCUGAUUAGCUUGUUGGUGCGGGUAACGGCCCACCAAGGCUACGAUCAGUAGGGGUUCUGAGAGGAAGGUCCCCCACAUUGGAACUGAGACACGGUCCAAACUCCUACGGGAGGCAGCAGUGAGGAAUAUUGGUCAAUGGACGUAAGUCUGAACCAGCCAAGUAGCGUGCAGGAUUGACGGCCCUAUGGGUUGUAAACUGCUUUUGUUGGGGAGUAAAGUGAGGCACGCGUGCCUUUUUGCAUUUACCCUUCGAAUAAGGACCGGCUAAUUCCGUGCCAGCAGCCGCGGUAAUACGGAAGGUCCAGGCGUUAUCCGGAUUUAUUGGGUUUAAGGGGAGUGUAGGCGGUCUGUUAAGCGUGUUGUGAAAUUUAGGUGCUCAACAUUUAACUUGCAGCGCGAACUGGCGGACUUGAGUGCACGCAACGUAUGCGGAAUUCAUGGUGUAGCGGUGAAAUGCUUAGAUAUCAUGACGAACUCCGAUUGCGAAAGCAGCGUACGGGAGUGUUACUGACGCUUAAGCUCGAAGGUGCGGGUAUCGAACAGGAUUAGAUACCUGGUAGUCCGCACGGUAAACGAUGGAUGCCCGCUGUUAGCGCCUGGCGUUAGCGGCUAAGCGAAAGCAUUAAGCAUCCCACCUGGGGAGUACGCCGGCAACGGUGAAACUCAAAGGAAUUGACGGGGGCCCGCACAAGCGGAGGAACAUGUGGUUUAAUUCGAUGAUACGCGAGGAACCUUACCCGGGCUUGAAUUGCAGACGCAGGAUACAGAGAUGUUGACUCCCUUCGGGGCGUCUGUGAAGGUGCUGCAUGGUUGUCGUCAGCUCGUGCCGUGAGGUGUCGGCUUAAGUGCCAUAACGAGCGCAACCCUUAUUACUAGUUGCCAGCAUUGAGUUGGGCACUCUAGUGAGACUGCCGGUGACAAACCGGAGGAAGGUGGGGAUGACGUCAAAUCAUCAUGCCCCUUAUGACUUGGGCUACACACGUGCUACAAUGGAUGGUACAACGAGCAGCGAACCCGCGAGGGUAAGCGAAUCUCUUAAAGCCAUUCUCAGUUCGGAUUGUAGGCUGCAACUCGCCUACAUGAAGCCGGAAUCGCUAGUAAUCGCGGAUCAGCACGCCGCGGUGAAUACGUUCCCGGGUCUUGUACACACCGCCCGUCACACCACGAGAGUUUGUAACACCCAAAGUCGGUGAGGUAACCAUUUGGAGCCAGCCGCCUAAGGUGGGAUAGAUGAUGGGGGUGAAGUCGUAACAAGGUAGCCGUAUCGGAAGGUGCGGUUGGAACACCUCCUUC